Struthio camelus australis is the source of this 1991-nucleotide non-coding RNA. Lineage: Eukaryota; Metazoa; Chordata; Aves; Struthioniformes; Struthionidae. The record is from RefSeq and is a predicted model, not a curated record.
CUGUGAAAGUUAAACAAGGACCGCAGAGGGGGAAAGCAAAUCUGUGGAGCUCGGUGUAGCGGGGGCGGUGGGUGCCCCGCAGCGCCAUGGAUAACAGGUGCUAUGGCUGCGCGUCCAAAUUCACGGUCUUCAAGAAAGAGUGUGGAUGUAAGAACUGCGGACGGGCAUUCUGCUCUGGCUGCCUUAGCUUCAGUGCUGUUGUUCCCCGCUGUGGAAACACUCCGCAGAAAGUGUGCAAGCAAUGUCAUGGAAAACUAACUGGAGAAGGAUCUCAAAGCAGUUCAGCAAAAUGGUCACCACCGGAGAACUACAAAAAGCGUGUAGCAGCUUUUGAGGCUAAGCAAAAUCAGCCGAAAGGGCAGUGGAAGGCAGCUGCGAAACCGGGCCAAGCAGGCUCCAGAUACCAGGGACUCUCAAAAGAGGAUAGAGCUAUUGCAGAGAGACUGGCGAAGCUCAAGGAGGAAAGGAAACCCAAGUCCAUCCCUUCUCAAGCUGAGAUCGAAGCUAGGCUGGCUGCUCUGAAGGAAGACUGCCGGGGACCUGUUCCAUCCACACAGGAAAUGGAGGACCGUUUGGCUGUCCUACAGGGGAGAGACCCUCCUUCCCAGGCUCCCAGACCAAUGCACCAGCCCCCUGAUUCCAGAAGCCUAGCCCAGCAGACAGAUGACCUAUUAACUCAGUUGGCUGAGGAAGUCGCUAUUGAUGAGCGUAACAGUCCAGGAGUCCAGCCUCAAGCUGCUAGGGGCCAAACCUUGAAUGAUCUCAAUCGGGAAAGCGAAGGUGGAGUUUGCCCUGCAAAUCUGGACCCAAAACAGCUAGAAGAAGAGAAGAAUAAACUUCUGGCAGAGGCCGCUUCUGAACUGCGGGAAGAGAACACCAGGCAGGAGAAGAUCCUACAAGUGGCCAAGAGAUUGGCAGCACUCAGAGGCCAGGACCCAGAGAAAGUUACUUUGGAAAACUAUAAGCUCCCUGACAGCGAUGAGGAAGUGGAUGAGGAGGAAGCCAUUCUGAGAGUGCUAAAACAGCUCACAGAGGAAGCAGCCCUGGAUGAAGCAAGUGGCUUCAAUAUUCCUCCAGAUCAGAACACCCAACCAGGACCCUCACAACAGAACCUACCUAAGAAAGCAAAGCAAAAGAGCCAGACUUCAGCCACCAUGGCUCUUGCCAAGUCAGAAGAUAGUGAUGAGGAGGAGUUACCCUGGUGCUGUAUCUGCAAUGAGGAUGCCACUUUGCGCUGCCAUGGCUGUGACGGGGACCUCUACUGCAAGCGCUGCUUUCGAGAAGGCCAUGAUGAGUUUGAUCUGAAGGACCACCACAUCUCCCGCUAUCGUCUUCCUUCUAAACAGAAGUGAUCGCGCUCCUUAUGGGGAGAAAAGGAGAUGGAGAACUGGAAAGGAGAGAGAGUUGGCCAGAUGGGAAGAGUCAAAGUGGUUUUGCAGCCAAAAUGGGUGAUGUCUUGGACAGUUAAAGGACAUGCUGUAAUCUGAGAGAAGCUUGGAGUGUGUGUAACUUUUUGUCCUCAGGAAAACAGCUAGAGGAGUGCUGGGUUUGCAGUGCAUGCAUGGGAUAAAUGAGGACUUGAUGCAAGGAGAUGGAUGACAGGCAGAUAGGAAAGCUACUGAGUUGUUCUGAUGCAAGAGCUGAACAACAAGGCCUGUGUUACACAAAACUGGAUGGAAAGAAAGAAGUCAUGAUGAACUUCAGAGAACUGUAUUUAGUGCUUCUCAGCCAAAAUGGAAAUUCCUAGAAGAAGAAACUAAAGGAAGGGCAUCUUGUCCCAUUCCCCAGGUUAACAUUCCCUUUAAGAAUCAGGAAAACAUAUAAUUCAGCCCCUUGCACGUAGAUCUGGAAGGAGCAGAGACUUCAAACCACUGGUACAAAAUUCACAAACUUGAUGAUGUUUCUCAAUAGCAGUAAGUCCUAAACAUACUCUGAAAUGAUCUUCCUGAUCCUGAUUUUUGCUGGGAGUUGCAUGUUUUCUUGUGAUCGAU